GCCUUGGUGGUGUAGUGGUCAAGACGUUUGUCUAUUAAACAGGAGGACUUUGGUUCGAUCCCAGUCGAGGUA
Molecule: transfer RNA, 72 nt
Filed under: Diaphorina citri (Asian citrus psyllid)
Lineage: Eukaryota; Metazoa; Arthropoda; Insecta; Hemiptera; Psyllidae
Rfam family: tRNA
About the family: Transfer RNA (tRNA) molecules are approximately 80 nucleotides in length. Their secondary structure includes four short double-helical elements and three loops (D, anti-codon, and T loops). Further hydrogen bonds mediate the characteristic L-shaped molecular structure. tRNAs have two regions of fundamental functional importance: the anti-codon, which is responsible for specific mRNA codon recognition, and the 3' end, to which the tRNAs corresponding amino acid is attached (by aminoacyl-tRNA synthetases). tRNAs cope with the degeneracy of the genetic code in two manners: having more than one tRNA (with a specific anti-codon) for a particular amino acid; and 'wobble' base-pairing, i.e. permitting non-standard base-pairing at the 3rd anti-codon position.
Source: Rfam by way of RNAcentral